This 69-nucleotide unclassified non-coding RNA is filed under the name human respiratory syncytial virus. RNAcentral's name for it is "L". Lineage: Riboviria; Orthornavirae; Negarnaviricota; Monjiviricetes; Mononegavirales; Pneumoviridae. The record is from RNAcentral.
UGGGACAAAAUGGAUCCCAUUAUUAAUGGAAAUUCUGCUAAUGUUUAUCUAACCGAUAGUUAUUUAAAA